GGGCUGCUUAGGGCUUGCUGAAGAGCGGUUUAUGUUGGAGGGUAGGAAUUGAGGAGAAAAAAUCAAUUAUGGCUGAUGCUUGGCUUCUAGGGACUGUAAACAAUAAAGUGUCAACAAACAUUUAUAGCGGUGAGGUCAGUUUGGUUUCGAACUUAAUUAAUACACAGCUAUGAGAAUGGAAAAAUAAGUUUAUUAAUUCUUAGAAUUUUGAAAAUCCCCUUAGCUGUAGAAGCUCAUGAUGAUUUGAUGGUUUGAUAAAGGGAACCUUCAGGGGAAUUUUCUAUGCGGAGUGUUUAUAAAUUAUUACAUGAAAGUAAUAUUGAACCUAAUUAUUUAAAGACCAAGAUGAAAAUUUUUUACAAAAAAACUAUGGAUCAGUAAUAUUCCAGCCAAAAUUAAGAUUUACAUUUGGAAAAUUUCCUGGAAUUUCAUUCCUAAUCUAGCUAUUUUAUCCACAAAAAGAAUGGCGAUGGAGACUGCGUACCUAAGAUGUGUAGGGGCUACUGAAAAUGUUGAUCACCUUUUGCGAGGCUGUCCUAUUACACGAGAAGUCUAGGUAAGUUUAAAUCUUGAUUGGGUAUUAACAGGAAUAAAUAUGAAUUGCUAGGAAUGGCUUAGCUGGGUGUUUAAAAGCUAUACUGGGUCGCAAUGUUGUUUAUUCUGCUGCUCCUUGUGGGAGAUCUGGACUAACAGAAAUAAGUGGUUAUUUGAGGGGAAGAGAAAUAGGGGUUGUGAUAUUACUGCAUGGGUCUUAAGGUAUGCUAAGAAAAUAGACGAGUGUGAGACUAGUAAAUUGACCAAGGAAACCGUGACUAUGGAAUGGUGCCCUCGAAUAGGUCCGAUAUUAAAUUGAAUUUUGACACGGCAUUUGACUAGGCACAGGCUAAAUCGGCUUCAGGGUUAGUUGCAAGAAAUGCUUCUAGAGAGAUUCUCGCCUCUAAAACUGUGGUACACAGGGCUAUUGCUUCUCCUUUCGCAGUAGAGGCACAUGCGUGUCUCCAAAUAGUUUUAUUGGGGAAAUAAAAGGGAUUUACAUUAGAUCGAAGGGGAUUCAGCUUCAGUUAUAAAGAGAAGUAAGUCAGAUCUGGUAGAUAGAUCGAUGAUAAGGGCUUUAAUAAGGAACUUACAAUGUUAAAAACUAUUCUUCCAUCAGAUAUUAUUUAAACACAUUCCUAGAUCAGCAAAUAUAAUGGCUCAUGAACUAGCCAGAGAAGCGAUGAGAAAUGGGUCACGGACUUACCUUCUCGGAGGACUGCUUGAGCAAAAUGCAACAGAAGAUGGAUCGUGCAGAAGGAGAGAACCAGAUUGAAGAUUGACUGAUGAAGGCGUUUGGGUUUUGGGAAGAGAUAAAUGAAGUAAAUGAUGGUCUACUGGUUUUUGGAAACUACUUCUUGGGGACUGGAACCGUCAAUAAUAAUAAUGAUGACAUUUAUUGGGUGCCAGCUGUGAAUCAGACUGUGGUGUUUUCUUUAUUUUGUUUUGUUUUACUUCUGUUUUUGUUUUUUUUGGUAGGCUUAGUUCAAAGCCCGA
This 1530-nucleotide long non-coding RNA is filed under the name Gossypium barbadense (sea-island cotton). RNAcentral describes it as "long non-coding RNA (GBAR_LNC000766)". The record is from RNAcentral. Lineage: Eukaryota; Viridiplantae; Streptophyta; Magnoliopsida; Malvales; Malvaceae.